UCUGUAUUUGUCACAGCUCAGAAACACAGAGAUGAUUUCUCAAAGUUCUCUGCUGUGUGUGUUGUUGCUUUAUAUUCAAGGCUCCUAUGGACAGAUUGUGAUGACUCAGUUCCCAGAUUCUGUCACUGUAUCACCAGGAGAAAGUGUCACUAUCACCUGUACAUCAAGUAUUAGUAUGGGCAGCGACGAUGUAGCCUGGUACCAACAGAAGCCAGGACAAGCGCCAAAGCCUCUUAUCUAUUAUGUAGGCAGCAAACCCUCUUGGACCCCAGACAGGUUCACUAGCAGUGGGUCUGGUACUAAGCACAUAUUUACAAUCAGCGGAGUGCAAGCAGAGGAUGCAGCAGAUUAUUACUGUCAGCAGCAUGAUGCAUUGCCUCGCACAGUGAUACAGAGCUGUACAAAAACCUUCUUCCCCUUUUCUCUGAUUGUUAUGCCAAGCUAAAAGCAGAAUUUUCAUGCAAUCUAUGUUUAUAAUAUACCAACACUGUUUUAAAGGUAAACAAUAACUUUAUCUUAAACAAAAAAAUAUUUUACUGGAUUUAACAAAAUAAAAAUGUGUUGUGUGGCUUUUAGAAAA
This is a non-coding RNA of Bombina bombina (fire-bellied toad), 580 nucleotides long. The record is from the annotation of a RefSeq genome assembly. NCBI's taxonomy places the organism in Eukaryota, Metazoa, Chordata, Amphibia, Anura, Bombinatoridae.